CAAUAGCGUAUAUUAAAGUUGUUGCGGUUAAAAAGCUCGUAGUUGGAUUUCGGCGGACAGGGGGCGGUUCGAUAUUUGUCGCUACUGCCCCAUUUGUCCGUGUUUUUGGCGGAGGUUUCAGGGUGCUCUUCACCGAGUGUCCUGGGAUGCCGUCAAGUUUACUUUGAAAAAAUUAGAGUGCUCAAAGCAGGCUUUACACGCUUGAAUAUUCGUGCAUGGAAUAAUGGAAUAGGACGUCGUUUCUAUUUUGUUGGUUUUCGGAAAUCGACGUAAUGAUUAACAGGGACAGUCGGGGGCAUUAGUAUUCAGACGACAGAGGUGAAAUUCUUGGACCGUCUGAAGACUAACUACUGCGAAAGCAUUUGCCAAGAAUGUUUUCAUUAA
Molecule: ribosomal RNA, 384 nt
Filed under: uncultured eukaryote
Lineage: Eukaryota
Description: partial 18S ribosomal RNA
Rfam family: Eukaryotic small subunit ribosomal RNA
Source: RNAcentral